UACGUAGGGUGCGAGCGUUAAUCGGAAUUACUGGGCGUAAAGCGUGCGCAGGCGGUUCGCCAAGUCAGGUGUGAAAUCCCCGGGCCUAACCUGGGAACUGCAUUUGUGACUGCAUAGCUAGAGUCUGUCAGAGGGGGGUGGAAUUCCACGUGUAGCAGUGAAAUGCGUAGAGAUGUGGAGGAACACCGAUGGCGAAGGCAGCCCCCUGGGAUAAGACUGA
Molecule: ribosomal RNA, 220 nt
Filed under: uncultured prokaryote
Description: partial 16S ribosomal RNA
Rfam family: Bacterial small subunit ribosomal RNA
Source: RNAcentral